GCCUCUGUAGCUCAGUUGGUUAGAGCACUGCACCGGAAUCGCAGGGCCGUAGGUUCAAUUCCUACCAGAGGAC
RNAcentral lists this transfer RNA (73 nucleotides) under Paramuricea clavata. It matches the Rfam family "tRNA". From Rfam's summary of the family: Transfer RNA (tRNA) molecules are approximately 80 nucleotides in length. Their secondary structure includes four short double-helical elements and three loops (D, anti-codon, and T loops). Lineage: Eukaryota; Metazoa; Cnidaria; Anthozoa; Malacalcyonacea; Plexauridae. The record is from Rfam by way of RNAcentral.